RNAcentral lists this unclassified non-coding RNA (352 nucleotides) under soil metagenome. RNAcentral's name for it is "partial contains 5.8S ribosomal RNA, internal transcribed spacer 2, and large subunit ribosomal RNA". The stretch from base 1 to 120 matches the Rfam family "5.8S ribosomal RNA", at positions 35 to 154 of the family's 154-position model. The record is from RNAcentral.
GAUGAAGAACGUAGCGAAAUGCGAUAAGUAAUGUGAAUUGCAGAAUUCAGUGAAUCAUCGAAUCUUUGAACGCACAUUGCGCCCGCCAGUAUUCUGGCGGGCAUGCCUGUUCGAGCGUCAUUACAACCCUCAGGCCCCCGGGCCUGGCGUUGGGGAUCGGCGGAGCCCCCCGUGGGCACACGCCGUCCCCCAAAUGCAGUGGCGGUCCCGCCGCAGCUUCCAUCGCGUAGUAGCUAACACCUCGCGACUGGAGAGCGGCGCGGCCACGCCGUAAAACACCCAACUCUUCUGAAGUUGACCUCGAAUCAGGUAGGAAUACCCGCUGAGCUUAAGCAUAUCAAUAAGCGGAGGA